GGUACACAUGCUACCCCUCAGCAUCCUUUGAUUAUAAAUUGAGAGAAAUGACGAAGAUUCACAAGUAGCAUCAAUAGCUUCUCAUAGUCCUUCAGCUACCUCCCUCCCUUUUUAUCAUCCCCAGCAGUGUUCUGUCAAAAUUAGAGUAUGACUCUGCAAGUAUUCAUUGGAAGAAAGCUCUGUUGAGUGCAGCCAUCCUAGAUGCCAGUACUUCUAUGAUGGGUCCUUUUUUAAUCUCUCUCUCUCUCCUUUUUUUUCUUUCCUGAGUAGAAUAGAAGGAAUGCAGACACCAACUAAAGAGAAGUCUGUUCUGAAGCAGACAAAACCCAUAACCAAGCUACUACAAAAGAAGUUCAGAUCUUCCACUAACACGUUCUGGGACUCCAAGUAGAUUUGUACUGCUCUCUUGGCCUGCAUGCUUAGUAAAGAGGUACUGCUCUUGGCAGAAAAGGGCUGAUAAUCAAAUCCCAAACUGUGCCCCAGCUGCACUUGAAUGUAACUCAACUACUCCAAUUCAGUACAAAGGCAAAGGUGAGAAGUAUAAGCUGGGGAAGAAGGUUAGGAACCAGCUCCCUCUGUUCCCAGCAUCCGCUCUCAGCUAAGGGCGUCUCAUGAAGCAACCUAGCACAGCACAUGGAAAAAAGUAAGAUUUUAUUUUAAGGUUUCAGAUUGUUUAACCAAAAUUGCAGGGGGGGGGGGGGGGAAGUACUUAAGCAUUUUUGUUCAAACCAUCUGCAAACACCCAAAGAACACAAUGUUUGAACAUCGAUGACAUGCAGAAAAAAAUCCAUUGCUUUGUCAUAAUUUUCUUCUUCCAGCAACACAAACAAAUAUAUAUCUUUUGAAAUUUCCUACAAAACAACUGUCAUUUUUAACAUCUUUGGUUAGAGGGCAAUUUGUAGAGUUACAGCCUUUCAAAUGAGCAGAUGUUCUGUUUUCCAGAGGGAAAUCAUACGGAUAUUAGAGUAGCUACAAAGGGAUAAACUCUUUGUACAUCGGCCUGGAUUCUCUUCAGUGUCUCUGUGCCAGUCUACUCUUUCAAGGAUUGUGCUGUAGUGACUGAGAAAGCAAAGAUGCUAGACAUACUUCCUCUUUAUUGAUGCUAAAAGCCUCAGAACAGGAUUGUGUGAUAGGAACAGGUUAUCAUUUUUCCUCUUGGUUUGCCAAUGACAAUAACAUCAACAGUGGCUGAACUCCCACCUGGACAAACUACAAGAUCAUCUUAUUGAUGAAGGAGCAGUAGUGCAGCUUUUUACA
Molecule: long non-coding RNA, 1257 nt
Filed under: Cairina moschata (Muscovy duck)
Lineage: Eukaryota; Metazoa; Chordata; Aves; Anseriformes; Anatidae
Description: domestica (muscovy Duck (domestic type)) lncRNA (ENSCMMG00000000296.1)
Source: RNAcentral